RNAcentral lists this ribosomal RNA (496 nucleotides) under uncultured bacterium. RNAcentral describes it as "partial 16S ribosomal RNA". It matches the Rfam family "Bacterial small subunit ribosomal RNA", at positions 29 to 507 of the family's 1533-position model. The record is from RNAcentral.
AUGAACGCUGGCGGCGUGCCUAAUACAUGCCAGUCGAGCGAACAGAUCAGGAGCUUGCUCCUUUGAAGUUAGCGGCGGACGGGUGAGUAACACGUGGGUAACCUACCUAUAAGGCUGGGAUAACUUCGGGAAACCGGAGCUAAUACCGGAUAACAUUUAGAACCGCAUGGUUCUAAAGUGAAAGAUGGUUUUGCUAUCACUUAUAGAUGGACCCGCGCCGUAUUAGCUAGUUGGUAAGGUAACGGCUUACCAAGGCGACGAUACGUAGCCGACCUGAGAGGGUGAUCGGCCACACUGGAACUGAGACACGGUCCAGACUCCUACGGGAGGCAGCAGUAGGGAAUCUUCCGCAAUGGGCGAAAGCCUGACGGAGCAACGCCGCGUGAGUGAUGAAGGGUUUCGGCUCGUAAAACUCUGUUAUUAGGGAAGAACAAAUGUGUAAGUAACUGUGCACAUCUUGACGGUACCUAAUCAGAAAGCCACGGCUAACUACGUG